GGAGAGGUGGCCGAGUGGUCGAAGGCGGUAGAUUCGAAAUCUAUUGUAGGGCAACCUACCGCGGGUUCGAAUCCCGCCCUCUCCGCCA
Molecule: transfer RNA, 88 nt
Filed under: Deltaproteobacteria bacterium
Lineage: Bacteria; Pseudomonadati; Myxococcota; Myxococcia
Also listed under: 1 other name
Description: tRNA-Ser
Rfam family: tRNA
About the family: Transfer RNA (tRNA) molecules are approximately 80 nucleotides in length. Their secondary structure includes four short double-helical elements and three loops (D, anti-codon, and T loops).
Source: RNAcentral